GCUUAUUUGCCAUCUGCCUAUCCUUUUUGGUGAAAUAUCAGUUCAUGUCUUUCAGCCAUGUUUAAUUUUUUUUUACUGUUGAGUUUUGAAAGUUCUUUAUAUAUUCUAGAAGAUGCAAAAUGUUUGUCAGAUAUUGGCUUGCAAAUAUUUUCUCCCAGUCUGCAGGUUGUCUUUUCACCCUCUAAACAGAGUCUUUCACAGCAUGAAACAAAUGGAGGCUUUAAAUGGCCAUUUCAGAAAAGCCUGACCUAGCCUUGAGAGCGUCGGACACGGUCACUCCACCGGUUCCCACUCACGAGGGCAGAUCAUGGGUUUAAAUCCCAUUUGGGUGUGCUAAUUCAGCUUCACAAUAGCUCACCCACCAUGGGCUUAACGCUAUUCAGUGGCCACAGGUGAGUGUGUUUCAGGACAUCACAAAAAGAUAAGCUGAGAAAGAGUGGCCCACCGCUGCCAGAACAGCUUGAGGGCAAGUCCCCACUGACCCGGAAAGUGAGUCAGUUGCAUCACCCCCUUAGAAACCUGGAAAAUGCUUCAUCAUCGGUGUAGAGCGAGAGCCAGCAUUCAAAACGCCAGGGGGCUUAUCAGGCCAUUUCACCACAACAUAAAGUAACAGGCAGACUUGAAUUCAUCUGGCACUGUUGACCAACACAGAGAGCCAAAACACACACGGAAUUCAAAAUCAGAAAUAAUCCCAAGUUUGAGUCAUCCAAUGUGCUUGUCUACAUUGAUUGCACUCACCAGAUAAAAGUCCAAUGCACUCUGUGGGGUGAAACAGCCUCUGUCUCAGGUUGGGAGUUGCUGCCAUGGAGACCACAAGAGUGGAGAUUUUCUGACACACAGAAAGGAAUGGAUUACAGCUCCUUCUUAUGUAAAUUUCCAUGGAGGGGAAAAAAGAUUAAAAGGAAAAUAAUUCUGCUUUAGUCGUUUUCCUUUAAGGUGAUAAGAUCCUUUGAUUCCAUCGUGGAGAAGAAGGCAACAGCUGUUUGUCACAAAUGCUAUUUGAUGCACCUGCUAUUAUUACUCUUAUUACCAUUUUCCAGUGGGAAGCUGCUUCUUGGGCAGGGUGGAUUUCCAUCUGCGUCUCCUUUUCGGUGUUGAAAGCUGAUGGGAAAUGUGCCAACGUCACAACAAGGUUUGAGGGAGGCACAUCUCAUGCUCGGACAUGAACACCCGAUCAUCAUGCUUAUGAACUACAAAAGGAUCUCCAGUAUGGGCUCACGGCAGUUGGCCCUUGAAUAACAUGAAUUUGAACUGCCUGAGUCUGCUAAUAUGUGGAUUAUCUUCUGCUUCUGCACCCUGAGACAGCAAGACCAACCCUUCCUCUUGCUUCUUUUCCUUAGCCUAUUCAACGUGAAGAUGACUAAGUUCACAGAGUUUGAGAGAAACUGUAUUCAAGUUGCUGAAACCAAGAAGCUACACUCACGAGUCUCACCUAAACUCGAAUCUGAUUUAGAUGACAUCAUCCUGGACUUUGAGUUGAUGAAACCUUGGAGGUCUUGGGAGUAAAGCAAGUGUGAUUUGCAUAUGAUGGAUAUGAAUUGUAAUGGCCAGAGCAUGGCUGUGAGAUGAAAACUCCCAUUUUAGGGAACCAAGACUGAAUUCCAUAAUUUACAUGGAUGUUUGGAAGGUGUCUGCAACUUAAUCUGUGUUCGUUUCUGAGAUGUUGGGCAACUCCUUCUUGGAAGAUGUGGUAAUGGUCUCUUCGAAAAGAAAAUAAUCAUCUGAGUUUUGGCCAAAAUAGUUGAUCGGAUUACCUAUGAAAAUGACUCUCACCCAACUACAAGAAUGUUAUGAUGUAGAAACUCUAAAUAUAUGAGUAAUUAACUAUACAACACUCCAUCCCCAUGUGAAAAUCUUUAAUCUUUUAAGAUACUGAAAUUUUGUGUAUGUCUCAUAAUUUUCUGUAUAUGGUCAAUGAGUUUUGCCUUAGCCAUAAGUGGUCUGUCUGAAAUCUUCUCUAUUAUUUGUGCAUUUUCUUCCUGAUGUACCAAGCCUAGUCUGUUUGUUUUUUCCUAAGAGAAAAGCAGAUGAUUCAACUGUGUAUUUCUCAGUGUUGAUAUUGUGGUUUGAGGUAUUUCAUAAUCUUGAGUAAAAUCUUGUCAAUUUUAUGCUAUGCCUUGUGGGAACAUAUUUUUACUUUUAAGUCUCUUUGGCAAGUGGAGCUUCCUUUGUGUUUCCUCACCAAAUGUAUUCCCCAUUGUUUUCUGAUUAAUUCUUUUUCAGAAUGUUUACUCCUUCUUACCUCAAUGUCAUUACUUUUCAGUCUUGGCUUUGGGUAAACCUAGGACAAGAAUUGGAUAUCCAAAGCCAAUUUCAAUAUAAAAACUAUAAUAUCUAUCAAAAUCUAUGUAAAAUCCUGUGUAUAUUUCUCUUCUUUGUUGAACAGGGGCUUAUAAUCAUGUAGGUAAAUACACGUGGUUUUGAUUUCAGCACUGAUUACUGAAGAUUUGUCUUCCAUUCUUCUGGGCCAGGCCCAUACACAACCAUAGUUAGAAGUAAAAACUAUUUGUUAUACCUGGAAUGCCUUUCCUUUCAAUCUCUGAAUGUCUAAAAUUACUUUUUCUUUGAAGACCACCUCAGGUGACCCUACUGUGGGGAAAAUGCCUGAAUUAUCUUUGUAAUCCCAGCUCAGCCACUUAAAGAUUGUGUAAGUUUAGUGUCAGCAUAUUACUUAAGUUCUUUUAGAUUUAGUUUCCUCAUAUGUAAGCUGGGGAUAAUAAUACCUACCUCAUAGAAAAUGAAUGAGAAUCAAGUUAUAUAAUAUAUGAACAACACUUGACACUGUGUGUGAACACUCAAUACAUGUAAAUCAUUAUUAUUAGCAAAAUGAUUAUUAGGUUCUCAUGCUAAUCCACAAUUUUUAUUGGCAGAUAUCCAUUAGUUUAUAGUUAAUGUUAUUCAUAAUCUUUUCUUCAUAUUCAAAUAGGAAGAGAUGACUUCUCAAUCUAGUUAAUCCUGGAUGUGUAUUUCUCUUAAUUUAUUGAGUGUAAAAUGCUUAUUUAUAUACAUACAAUUUCCCUUAUUAGUGAACAUCUAGAAGGCAGAAUGGUACUUCAUUUCUUUCUGUAUGUUUAGCACCAAGGACAGUACCUGGCACAUAGAAGAUACAUAUUAAAAACAAAUAAAACAACUCUUAAUGGAUCUCAUUUUAAAAAAAUUCUCGGUUAAUUAUAAAGGCUCUAGUAAACCAAAUAAUUGUAUGUUAACUUAUUUACUUUUAUUACUGUGUUUAUUUUCUCCAACUGCUUCAUCAUACAAAGUAAACACCUGAAUGUAAGCUGCAUGAGGGCAAGAGCUGUGUCUUGUUUACUGCUCUCAAGAACAUUUGAGCAAAGUGCCUGGCACAUGGCAGACACUCAAUAAGUUACAAUUAAUACUCAAUGUAUGAACUGAUCUAUACUUAGAAUUGACUAAGAAGAAUAAGUCUUACACAGACUCAGUCUCUGAGAACUUGAAAAUCUAAGUUUGCAUAUCUCUGCUGUUGUGUUUUCAGGUUACUCAGUAGAAAACCAAGUUAUUUACACAUCCUCAAGUGUCUCAAGGUUAAAUCUUCCAUGCAUAAAAUAUCUGGGCGAUUGAUUGUGUUUCUUACUUUGCUCCUAAGUAUGUUAGCAUCAUAUAGGCAUAGCCUAAGCCAGACCAAAAUGAAUUCAUUGAUUGACUCAACAAAUGUUUAUGGAUCUCAGAUAUUAUAUGGAGAUGGUGUCAAACAACGGGAUGUGCUAUGGAAUUUGAUGUGGAGGCUGAAGGAAAGAGGAAUCUAGGCGGACUCACAGAUUUUUUGGCUUGAGUAACUUGGACAUUAUGGUGAGUUAUUGAACGGAAGUCUAGGGAUUGUUCAACCCCUGAAAACAGACCACAUCCCAUUGCAGGAGGAAAUUUGG
Molecule: long non-coding RNA, 3884 nt
Filed under: Homo sapiens (human)
Lineage: Eukaryota; Metazoa; Chordata; Mammalia; Primates; Hominidae
Description: HSALNT0142875
Source: RNAcentral